Molecule: ribosomal RNA, 293 nt
Filed under: uncultured bacterium
Lineage: Bacteria
Description: partial 16S ribosomal RNA
Rfam family: Archaeal small subunit ribosomal RNA
Source: RNAcentral
GUGCCAGCAGCCGCGGUAAUACCGGCAGCUCGAGUGAUGUCCAAUAUUAUUGGGCCUAAAGCGUCCGUAGCUGGCCGCGCAAGUCCGUCGGGAAAUCCACCUGCCCAACAGGUGGGCGUCCGGUAGAAACUGGCCGGCUUGGAACCGGAAGGCUCAGAGAGUACGUCCGGGGUAGGAGUGAAAUCCCGUGAUCCCGGACGGACUACCGAUGGCGAAAGCACGUCGCGAAGACGGAUCCGACAGUGAGGGACGAAAGCUAGGGUCUCGAACCGGAUUAGAAACCCCUGUAGUCC